Molecule: long non-coding RNA, 295 nt
Organism: Anguilla rostrata (American eel)
Lineage: Eukaryota; Metazoa; Chordata; Actinopteri; Anguilliformes; Anguillidae
Exons: 2
Source: RefSeq, a predicted model, not a curated record
CCAGGGUGCGGAUGGCACCCCACAGUUCUGGUAACCUUGUGCUUCUCAAUAAGACGUAGUGGUUGAAAGAUUACAGAGUGCACAUCAGGGUCUGUUUUCUGUUGCAUGGGCACCCUCAGCCAGAGGAGAAAGUCAAAGAGAAUGAGGAAUAAGCUGAUUCAUGUGGAGUUAUCUGCCCACUGGCACGCCAAGGCAACCAGCUGAAAAGCUUUGAUGGAAGCAGAAACUUAAAACCAAUGCAUUCACAACCCACAUGGAAAUGCUUUGAAUCAACAAUGAAGCCUGCCUAUGUGAA